UGGGAUUCUUUCAGUUCUUUCAACAUAUUUGCAAUAACUGAUUUAAAGUUGUUUGUUUAGUAAGUACGGUAUCUAGGCUUCCAUAGGGACAGUUUUUAUUGACUACAUUUUUUCCCUUCGUGUCUUAUAACCUUGUUGAAUAUUGCACAUUCCAUAAUGUGAUAAUUGUGGAAAUCAGGUUUUCUGCUUCCCUAGGGAUGUUGUUGUCAUUUAAUGUUUUUCUUUCUGUUUGUGUAGCAGCUUUGCUGUAUGAAUUCUACAAAGUCUCUAUUUCCUGUCCUGAAGAGCACUGAAGUCAUGGCUUGCUUAGUUUACUGGUCAGCUAAAGAACAUACUGAUGCUCUGAAAGAUGACUCCAGGAGAGUUUGAGGAGGCAAACACCGUCUACACAGUACUACAAGGCUUUGUCCCAAGAACCUACAUAGCUAUGAUGGACAAGGUUAAGUAAUAAACCACACAGAGGCUGAAAGCUGCUGGACAAGUGCUCUGGUCACCUGUCCUUAGGCAAGAAUUCUGGAAGGUAUUUUGUGUAUAUUCAUUAGUUCUAGCUAAUCUAGAACCUCAUACAUGUUCAUUAUAACAACCUUGAUAAUGUUUUGUUUUAAAUCACCAUUCAUGUGGUUUGACAUACAUAGAAAUAUUCACUGAUUUUAUGUAUAUGUUUAGAUGAUUUGUGACAUAUAUGUCAUCAGAUAAAUAUUAUCAGAAUCAAAGAUGUUGGAAAUUACCAUUGCCCCUCAAUCUCUCCAUGCCCUUUUAGUCAAUCUCCUACUCCCAUAUAUUGCAAUAAUUGAUGACCUGUCUUCACUAUAGUUUUACUUUUUCUAGAAUUUUGUAUUAGUGGAAUUAUACAAUGCAGUGUCUCUUGUGUCAAGCUUCUUUCACAAAAAGACAUUGAUAUUGUACAUAUCAAUGUUUCCUUCCUUUUCAUUGCUAAGCAGUGUUACAUUGUAUGGAUGCGUCAUUCUUUGCUUAUUCAUAUGUGAAUGCAUAAACUAGUUGUGGUAUGCCCAU
This 1014-nucleotide long non-coding RNA is filed under the name Callithrix jacchus (white-tufted-ear marmoset). RNAcentral describes it as "lncRNA (ENSCJAG00000074807.1)". Lineage: Eukaryota; Metazoa; Chordata; Mammalia; Primates; Cebidae. The record is from RNAcentral.